UUUUUUUUUUUUUUUUUUUGUGGCAUAAGCGUUUGGGUCAUACAUCCAAAAAAAUAUUAGAGGUUGGUAAAGAAUGAGAUUCUACCAAGUCUAGAUUUUACAGAUCCUGAUGUGUGAGUGCAUUACAAUAAGGGAAAGUAAACCAAACACAAUAAAAAAGAAGUCACAAGAAGCAGUCAGCUUCUUAAAAUUAUACACACUUAAUUAGGUUUGGCAUUUCUAAGGACCCUAUCUUUCUUGGUUGAAGAAGUGGUUUCCUAGGUUUCAAGCAUCUGCUUAUUUGUUUGAAGUCUAUUGAUAUUGGCUGAAUGAUUGCUUGCAUCCUGUUUGGUGCAACUUUCGAGCGUUUAUGCUUUGUUGAGUGAGCUGUGGCUACUGAUGGUAGCUGACGAUAGGGGUGUAAACGAUAAAUUAAACAACAUUUACAUGUGUUAUAUUGU
RNAcentral lists this unclassified non-coding RNA (440 nucleotides) under Hevea brasiliensis (rubber tree). Lineage: Eukaryota; Viridiplantae; Streptophyta; Magnoliopsida; Malpighiales; Euphorbiaceae. The record is from RNAcentral.